UUCGAUUAAGGUUCGACUCGAGCGGAAGCGAGAGAACGUUGCCAACGGCAACGGCCCGAAGGGGGAGGAGCGGAGCGACGAAUAAUCCUUCCCCCACCACCA
This 102-nucleotide small RNA is filed under the name Salmonella enterica subsp. houtenae. RNAcentral describes it as "partial RtT sRNA". It matches the Rfam family "RtT RNA", at positions 31 to 130 of the family's 130-position model. Rfam says of the family: This family represents a bacterial cis-regulatory element known as RtT RNA. The exact function of RtT is unknown although it is thought that it may be involved in changing the cellular response in relation to amino acid starvation. The record is from RNAcentral. Lineage: Bacteria; Pseudomonadati; Pseudomonadota; Gammaproteobacteria; Enterobacterales; Enterobacteriaceae.